GGUUCCGUGGUGUAGGGGUUAACAUGCCUGCCUGUCACGCAGGAGAUCGCGGGUUCAAAUCCCGCCGGGACCG
Molecule: transfer RNA, 73 nt
Filed under: Listeria monocytogenes
Lineage: Bacteria; Bacillati; Bacillota; Bacilli; Caryophanales; Listeriaceae
Description: tRNA-Asp
Rfam family: tRNA
About the family: Transfer RNA (tRNA) molecules are approximately 80 nucleotides in length. Their secondary structure includes four short double-helical elements and three loops (D, anti-codon, and T loops).
Source: RNAcentral